AUUGAUUGAGAGAGAUAAAAGUAUUAUGACGUAGUCGAUGUUCUCUUUCUAUAUAUAUUAAAAAAAACAAAAAUUUAUGCGAUUUUUUAAUUAUAGCCAAUUUUUUUAAAAAAUUUUGACAUAAUUUUAAAAAGUUAAUGCUAAUGUGGUAGCUGACAUGGCAAAAAUAUAUAUUUUUUUCUAUUGUUGCUGACGAUGUUGCUGACGAUGUUGCUGAUGUGACAGUUGAUGUGGUAUAAAUUUUGAUUUUUUUAUUAUAUUAUUACUGAUGUGAUAAA
RNAcentral lists this unclassified non-coding RNA (278 nucleotides) under Hevea brasiliensis (rubber tree). Lineage: Eukaryota; Viridiplantae; Streptophyta; Magnoliopsida; Malpighiales; Euphorbiaceae. The record is from RNAcentral.